Molecule: transfer RNA, 73 nt
Filed under: Rhodocyclaceae bacterium
Lineage: Bacteria; Pseudomonadati; Pseudomonadota; Betaproteobacteria; Rhodocyclales; Rhodocyclaceae
Description: tRNA-Arg
Rfam family: tRNA
About the family: Transfer RNA (tRNA) molecules are approximately 80 nucleotides in length. Their secondary structure includes four short double-helical elements and three loops (D, anti-codon, and T loops).
Source: RNAcentral
GGCUUAUUAGCUCAGUGGAAAGAGCGCCCCGUUCCUACCGGGGAGGUCGCGGGUUCAAUUCCCGCAUAGGCUU